GAAAUGCGAUAAGUAGUGUGAAUUGCAGAAUUCAGUGAAUCAUCAAAUUUUUGAACGCACAUUGCGCUUCCUGGUAUUCCGGGGAGCAUGCCCGUUUCAGAAUCAUUUAAAACACUCUGUCUCUCUGGUUUCAGAUGACAGGAAGAUGGAUGCUUUGCAUUCCUGUGGUGCAAUCAUCUUAAUGCCAUUCUGCAUGCCCCCAGUGUGACCUGGCAGGCUUCCAAGGUGCAACAGAAAUACCAUCUUUACACUCUGGACUCUGCUAAGGAGCAUCUGUGGUCGUGAAGUCUCAUUGCUAAGAGCAUAAUCCAUUGAGGAAUAAUGCUCUUUUAUUUUUGGUCUGAAAUCGGGCAAGAAAACCCGCUGAACUUAA
Molecule: unclassified non-coding RNA, 373 nt
Filed under: uncultured Chytridiomycota
Lineage: Eukaryota; Fungi; Chytridiomycota
Description: sequence contains ITS1
Rfam family: 5.8S ribosomal RNA (bases 1-105)
Source: RNAcentral